Thalictrum thalictroides is the source of this 88-nucleotide non-coding RNA. The record is from the annotation of a GenBank genome assembly. NCBI's taxonomy places the organism in Eukaryota, Viridiplantae, Streptophyta, Magnoliopsida, Ranunculales, Ranunculaceae.
AGAUCAUUAGCUCAAAUGGUAGAGCACUUGAGAAUAGUUGUGUACUAGUACAUGUCAAGAGAUGGUGGUUCAAGUCCAUCAUGAUCCU